RNAcentral lists this ribosomal RNA (468 nucleotides) under uncultured bacterium. Its description in RNAcentral is "partial 16S ribosomal RNA". It matches the Rfam family "Bacterial small subunit ribosomal RNA", at positions 28 to 507 of the family's 1533-position model. The record is from RNAcentral.
GACGAACGCUGGCGGCGUGCUUAACACAUGCAAGUCGAACGGAAAGGCCCUGCUUUUGUGGGGUGCUCGAGUGGCGAACGGGUGAGUAACACGUGAGUAACCUGCCCUUGACUUUGGGAUAACUUCAGGAAACUGGGGCUAAUACCGGAUAGGAGCUCCUGCUGCAUGGUGGGGGUUGGAAAGUUUCGGCGGUUGGGGAUGGACUCGCGGCUUAUCAGCUUGUUGGUGGGGUAGUGGCUUACCAAGGCUUUGACGGGUAGCCGGCCUGAGAGGGUGACCGGCCACAUGAGGACUGAGGUACGGCCCAGACUCCUACGGGAGGCAGCAGUGGGGAAUAUGGCACAAUGGGCGGAAGCCUGAUGCAGCAACGCCGCGUGCGGGAUGACGGCCUUCGGGUUGUAAACCGCUUUCGCCUGUGACGAAGCGUGAGUGACGGUAAUGGGUAAAGAAGCACCGGCUAACUACGUG